RNAcentral lists this long non-coding RNA (581 nucleotides) under Citrus sinensis (sweet orange). RNAcentral describes it as "long non-coding RNA (CSIN_LNC000827)". The record is from RNAcentral. Lineage: Eukaryota; Viridiplantae; Streptophyta; Magnoliopsida; Sapindales; Rutaceae.
CCGAAUUCAAUUUAUUAAUUAAAAGAAUGAUUACAAUCAGCAACUAUACUGCCAAAAAAGAUGUUGCCAAAAAAGAUGUUGACUGGACUCAUCAGAUUCGAAAAAUAACUUCGUGUCGGUCUCAUGAAACAAAAAAGAUUCAGGCUUUUUCUUUUUUUUGAGCAAGAAAGCUCAUCGACAUCAUCUGUAAUAGGACAUUACUGUAACAAACCAACCAUUGGAUAAACAAUUUUUAAAGGAUUCAACUACAAAACAAGCCAAAGAAGUCUAAGUGGAUGCCAAAAGAAAAAAAAUGAAUAAAUUAAAAAAAAGGAAAUGGAAGAAGUAAACUCACCUUUAAAAGUUGCUCAAGAGUAGCUCCUCAGUAUCGCUUUCUUUAUUCUCACUCUCUAAAGUUAAAUAAGUUUCCUCAAUUUGCCUGUACCUAUAUCUGCAGAAGUUUUCUCAUCAAGACACACGAGACUUUCUCCAAGAGAAGUCUUUCUUUGGAAAUGAAGACUUCUUUGGAAUAAAAGAAGUCGGUGAAAACUUGAGAAUAAAAGGUACGAAUAAGGAUGCCAAAUAUCUAGUUAUGGAUGAAU